This 287-nucleotide ribosomal RNA is filed under the name Rahnella aquatilis. RNAcentral's name for it is "partial 16S ribosomal RNA". It matches the Rfam family "Bacterial small subunit ribosomal RNA", at positions 1086 to 1372 of the family's 1533-position model. The record is from RNAcentral. Lineage: Bacteria; Pseudomonadati; Pseudomonadota; Gammaproteobacteria; Enterobacterales; Yersiniaceae.
CCCGCAACGAGCGCAACCCUUAUCCUUUGUUGCCAGCGAGUCAUGUCGGGAACUCAAAGGAGACUGCCGGUGAUAAACCGGAGGAAGGUGGGGAUGACGUCAAGUCAUCAUGGCCCUUACGAGUAGGGCUACACACGUGCUACAAUGGCAUAUACAAAGAGAAGCGAACUCGCGAGAGCAAGCGGACCUCAUAAAGUAUGUCGUAGUCCGGAUUGGAGUCUGCAACUCGACUCCAUGAAGUCGGAAUCGCUAGUAAUCGUAGAUCAGAAUGCUACGGUGAAUACGUU